RNAcentral lists this ribosomal RNA (1242 nucleotides) under metagenome. RNAcentral's name for it is "bacterial LSU rRNA". It matches the Rfam family "Bacterial large subunit ribosomal RNA", at positions 1564 to 2814 of the family's 2925-position model. The record is from RNAcentral.
UGAAUACGAGAUGCUACGGCGUCGAAGCAGUGUAUGUCAGACUUCCAAGAAAAGCUCGCAAUGUCAUAAAUAAAGAAUGCCUGUACCAUAACCGACACAGGUGGGUAGGUAGAGUAUACUAAGGGGCGCGAGAUAACUCUCUCUAAGGAACUCGGCAAAAUAACUCCGUAACUUCGGGAGAAGGAGUGCCUUCUUUAAGAAGGUUGCAAUAACAAGAUCCAAGCAACUGUUUAUCAAAAACACAGGUCUCCGCUAAGUCGUAAGACGAUGUAUGGGGGCUGACGCCUGCCCAGUGCCAGAAGGUUAAAGAAGUUGGUUAGCUUUUGCGAAGCUGAUGACUGAAGCCCUGGUGAACGGCGGCCGUAACGAUAACGGUCCUAAGGUAGCGAAAUUCCUUGUCGGGUAAGUUCCGACCCGCACGAAAGGCGUAAUGAUUUGGAUACUGUCUCGGAGAGGGACUCGGUGAAAUAGACUUGUCUGUGAAGAUGCGGACUACCUGCACCAGGACAGAAAGACCCUAUGAAGCUUUACUGUAACUUGAAAUUGAAAUUGGACUUUAUUUGCGCAGUAUAGGUGGAAGGCGUUGAAAGUAAUCUUGCGGGAUUAGUGGAGCCAUCAGUGAGAUACCACUCCUAUAAUGUUAGAUUUCUAACUUUGGAUCAUGAUCUGGUCAAAGAACAGUUUCAGGCGGGCAGUUUGACUGGGGCGGUCGCCUCCCAAAUGGUAACGGAGGCGUACAAAGGUUUCCUCUGAACGGGUAGAAAUCGUAUCUAGAGUGUAAAGGCAUAAGGAAGCUUGACUGUGAGACCUACAAGUCGAGCAGGGACGAAAGUCGGUCUUAGUGAUCUGACGGUGCUGAGUGGAAAGGCCGUCACUCAACGGAUAAAAGUUACUCUAAGGAUAACAGGCUGAUCUCCCCCAAGAGUUCACAUCGACGGGGAGGUUUGGCACCUCGAUGUCGGCUCAUCGCAUCCUGGGGCGGUAGUACGUCCCAAGGGUUGGGCUGUUCGCCCAUGAAAGCGGUACGCGAGCUGGGUUCAGAACGUCGUGAGACAGUUCGGUCCAUAUCCGGUGUAGGCGUUAGAAUAUUGAGAGGAGCCUUCUUUAGUACGAGAGGACCGAGAAGGACAUACCUCUGGUGUACCAGUUAUCGAGCCAACGGUAAACGCUGGGUAGCUAUGUAUGGAGAGGAUAACCUCUGAAAGCAUCUAAGUGGGAAGCCCACCUCAAGAUGAGUAUUCU